UACGUAGGGGGCUAGCGUUGUCCGGAUUUAUUGGGCGUAAAGAGCUCGUAGGCGGCCUGUUGCGUCCGCUGUGAAAUCCCGGGGCUCAACCCCGGGCCUGCAGUGGAUACGGGCUGGCUAGAGGCAGGCAGGGGAGAACGGAAUUCCUGGUGUAGCGGUGAAAUGCGCAGAUAUCAGGAGGAACACCGGUGGCGAAGGCGGAUCUCUGGGCCGAUACUGACGCUGAGGAGCGAAAGCGUGGGGAGCGAACAGG
This 253-nucleotide ribosomal RNA is filed under the name uncultured bacterium. Its description in RNAcentral is "partial 16S ribosomal RNA". It matches the Rfam family "Bacterial small subunit ribosomal RNA", at positions 524 to 776 of the family's 1533-position model. The record is from RNAcentral.